UAUAUCUGACAAUUGGCGAAAGCCUGAUCCAGCCAUGCCGCGUGUGUGAAGAAGGUUUUCGGUUUGCAACGCACGUUAAGUAGGGAGGAAGGGCCGUAAGUUAACUCCUUGCUGUUUUGACGUUACCGACAGAACAAGCUGUGGCAUACUUAGCUCUCUCAGCCGCGGUAAUACGAAGGGUGCAAGGGUUAAUCGGAAUUGUGGGGCGUAACGAGCGGAGAGGUGGUUUGUUGAGUUGGAAGUGAAAGCCCCGGGCUCAACCUGGGAACUGCUUUCAAAACUGACAAGCUAGAGUAUGACAGAGGGUGGUGAAAUUUCCUGUGUAGCGGUGAAAUGCGUAGAUAUAGGAAGGAACACCAGUGGCGAAGGCGACCACCUGGGCUAAUACUGACACUGAGGUGCGAAAACGUGGGGAGCAAAC
This 421-nucleotide ribosomal RNA is filed under the name uncultured bacterium. RNAcentral's name for it is "partial 16S ribosomal RNA". It matches the Rfam family "Bacterial small subunit ribosomal RNA", at positions 359 to 773 of the family's 1533-position model. The record is from RNAcentral.